RNAcentral lists this ribosomal RNA (1341 nucleotides) under uncultured bacterium. Its description in RNAcentral is "partial 16S ribosomal RNA". It matches the Rfam family "Bacterial small subunit ribosomal RNA". The record is from RNAcentral.
AUUCGAUUAGAGUUUGAUCAUGGCUCUUGAUGAACGCUAGCGGUAUGCUUAACACAUGCAAGUCGUACGAGAGUCUUUGACUCUAGUGGCGGACGGGUGAGUAACGCGUGAGAAUCUACCCCUAGGUGGGAAAUAACAGUAGGAAACCGCUGCUAAUGUCCCAUAUACCUUUUGGUGAAAAGAGUAAUCUGCCUAAGGAGGAGCUCGCGUCUGAUUAGCUAGUUGGUAGGGUAAAGGCCUACCAAGGCGAUGAUCAGUAGCUGGUUUGAGAGGAUGAUCAGCCACAUUGGGACUGAGACACGGCCCAAACUCCUACGGGAGGCAGCAGUGGGGAAUCUUGCACAAUGGAGGAAACUCUGAUGCAGCGAUGCCGCGUGAGUGAAGAAGGCCUUUGGGUUGUAAAGCUCUUUCGUCGGGGAAGAAAAUGACUGUACCCGAAUAAGAAGGUCCGGCUAACUUCGUGCCAGCAGCCGCGGUAAUACGAAGGGACCUAGCGUAGUUCGGAAUUACUGGGCUUAAAGAGUUCGUAGGUGGUUGAAGAAGUUGGUGGUGAAAUCCCAGAGCUUAACUCUGGAACUGCCAUCAAAACUUUUCAGCUAGAGUAUGAUAGAGGAAAGCAGAAUUUCUAGUGUAGAGGUGAAAUUCGUAGAUAUUAGAAAGAAUACCAAUUGCGAAGGCAGCUUUCUGGAUCAUUACUGACACUGAGGAACGAAAGCAUGGGUAGCGAAGAGGAUUAGAUACCCUCGUAGUCCAUGCCGUAAACGAUGUGUGUUAGACGUUGGAAAUUUAUUUUCAGUGUCGCAGCGAAAGCGAUAAACACACCGCCUGGGGAGUACGACCGCAAGGUUAAAACUCAAAUGAAUUGACGGGGACCCGCACAAGUAGUGGAGCAUGUGGUUUAAUUCGAAGAUACGCGCAGAACCUUACCAACACUUGACAUGUUCGUCGCGACUUUAAGAGAUUAAAGUUUUCGGUUCGGCCGGACGAAACACAGGUGCUGCAUGGCCGUCGUCAGCUCGUGUCGUGAGAUGUUGGGUUAAGUCCCGCAACGAGCGCAACCCUCACUUUUAGUUGCCAUCAUUUAGUUGGGCACUCUGAAAGAACUGCCAGUGAUAAGCUGGAGGAAGGUGGGGAUGACGUCAAGUCCUCAUGGCCCUUACGUGUUGGGCUACACACGUGCUACAAUGGUAUCUACAACAGGAAGCAAAACUGCGAAGUUAAGCAAAUCCUUAAAAGAUACCUCAGUUCGGAUUGCACUCUGCAACUCGAGUGCAUGAAGCUGGAAUUACUAGUAAUCGUGGAUCAGCGUGCCACGGUGAAUGCGUUCCCGGGUCUUGUAGA